RNAcentral lists this ribosomal RNA (564 nucleotides) under uncultured bacterium. RNAcentral describes it as "bacterial SSU rRNA". It matches the Rfam family "Bacterial small subunit ribosomal RNA", at positions 338 to 916 of the family's 1533-position model. The record is from RNAcentral.
CCUACGGGAGGCAGCAGUGGGGAAUCUUGCGCAAUGGGCGAAAGCCUGACGCAGCAACGCCGCGUGCGGGAAGAAGGCCCUAGGGUUGUAAACCGCUUUCAGUAGGAACGAAAAUGACGGUACCUGCAGAAGAAGGUGCGGCCAACUACGUGCCAGCAGCCGCGGUGACACGUAGGCACCAAGCGUUGUCCGGAUUUAUUGGGCGUAAAGAGCUCGUAGGCGGUUGAGUAAGUCGGGUGUGAAAACUCUGGGCUUAACCCAGAGCCGCCACUCGAUACUGCUGUGACUUGAGUUCGGUAGGGGAGCAGGGAAUUCCUAGUGUAGCGGUGAAAUGCGCAGAUAUUAGGAGGAACACCGGUGGCGAAGGCGCUGCUCUGGGCCGAUACUGACGCUGAGGAGCGAAAGCGUGGGUAGCAAACAGGAUUAGAUACCCUGGUAGUCCACGCCGUAAACGUUGGGCACUAGGUGUGGGUUCCAACCAACGGAAUCCGCGCCGUCGCUAACGCAUUAAGUGCCCCGCCUGGGGAGUACGGCGGCAACGCUAAAACUCAAAUGAAUUGACGG